This is a long non-coding RNA of Trichechus manatus latirostris (Florida manatee), 203 nucleotides long. RefSeq lists it as uncharacterized. The transcript has 3 exons. NCBI's taxonomy places the organism in Eukaryota, Metazoa, Chordata, Mammalia, Sirenia, Trichechidae. The record is from RefSeq and is a predicted model, not a curated record.
UGCUGUAGGUGUUAAGUGGAGAAAGACAUGAGUGUGGACAGCCUCAGUCAAGGAAGGCUUAAUGGAGGAGCUCAUCAGAGAACAGCAAGCUGGUCAUCCACAAGGAUCUGAGGGAAUGAGACAUUGGACAGGUAUCCUUCUGUGGCUCUCCUCAAGGAUGUUUUUCAAGUUCACGUCAGUCUUCUUCAGCCUAUCACAGACGU